AGAGUUUGAUCCUGGCUCAGGACGAACGCUGGCGGCGUGCUUAACACAUGCAAGUCGAACGAAGAGCGACGGAAGCUUGCUUCUAUCAAUCUUAGUGGCGAACGGGUGAGUAACGCGUAAUCAACCUGCCCUUCAGAGGGGGACAACAGUUGGAAACGACUGCUAAUACCGCAUACGAUCUAAUCUCGGCAUCGAGGAUAGAUGAAAGGUGGCCUCUACAUGUAAGCUAUCACUGAAGGAGGGGAUUGCGUCUGAUUAGCUAGUUGGAGGGGUAACGGCCCACCAAGGCGAUGAUCAGUAGCCGGUCUGAGAGGAUGAACGGCCACAUUGGGACUGAGACACGGCCCAGACUCCUACGGGAGGCAGCAGUGGGGAAUCUUCCGCAAUGGACGAAAGUCUGACGGAGCAACGCCGCGUGAGUGAUGACGGCCUUCGGGUUGUAAAGCUCUGUUAAUCGGGACGAAAGGCCUUCUUGCGAAUAGUGAGAAGGAUUGACGGUACCGGAAUAGAAAGCCACGGCUAACUACGUGCCAGCAGCCGCGGUAAUACGUAGGUGGCAAGCGUUGUCCGGAAUUAUUGGGCGUAAAGCGCGCGCAGGCGGAUAGGUCAGUCUGUCUUAAAAGUUCGGGGCUUAACCCCGUGAUGGGAUGGAAACUGCCAAUCUAGAGUAUCGGAGAGGAAAGUGGAAUUCCUAGUGUAGCGGUGAAAUGCGUAGAUAUUAGGAAGAACACCAGUGGCGAAGGCGACUUUCUGGACGAAAACUGACGCUGAGGCGCGAAAGCCAGGGGAGCGAACGGAGUUAGAUACCCCGGUAGUCCUGGCCGUAAAC
This 829-nucleotide ribosomal RNA is filed under the name uncultured bacterium. Its description in RNAcentral is "bacterial SSU rRNA". It matches the Rfam family "Bacterial small subunit ribosomal RNA", at positions 8 to 807 of the family's 1533-position model. The record is from RNAcentral.